UCAGCCUGUGCUGUAAGAAGAGGUCUGCUUCACAGGACAUCUCUUGUCCUCUCCCCUAUUCAUGUAGAAUCUCAGCCUCUAACAUCCGUAAGAGUCUCUAGGGCUGGAUGUUUAUGUUCACUAACAGGCUGGCUCGGGUCUGGGGCAAUGACUCUUCUUGUCAGUGUUCUCUGGGCACUUUGGUAUCCUCUGGAAACCACUGGUGUCCCCAACAAGCUGUAAAUGGUCUACAUUCUGUUUCAUAUUUGAUGGAAGCCUAACUCUCAUCUUAUGUUUUGUGUCAUUUUGUUCUAGAGGGAUUCAGACCACACAUUGUUGCUUAUCCCACAAGACUCCUCAUGAAAACAAUUUCUUCAGCUUCUGCUUGCAGGCCCUCUUUCUGCAGACACCAGACACUAAAGCUUGGUUUAGUCAGGGGGCAGACAAAAAUGUGCUUCCAGAGGCUCUACUUCCUCAGGCUCACCCAGACAGUGGCUAAAUGCCCCCUAGGCAUAGGCGGGACUCCUGCUGUGAGGAAAACUUUGGGCAGCCUUCUCUUUCUCUCUCUUUCCCUGGAAUAAAUUCCUAAAAGUGACUGUGUAUGUUUUCAAGGGCUUUGAAUGUUUUUAUGGCUGAAUUAUGCCUCCCCACUUCAGAUUCAAAUAUUGACGCCCUAAACCCCCAGUACCCCAGAAUGUGACUGUAUUUGAAGACAGGACAUUUAAAGAGGUGACUACAUUAAAAUGAAGCUUGUAGGGUGGGUCCUAAUCCAAUCUGACUGUUGUCCUUAGAGAGGAAAUUUGGAUCCAGAAAGAGAGAGACACCAGGGAUUCACACAAACCGAGAAAAGACCACGUAAGGAUGCAGUGAGAGGGCAGCCAUCUGCAAGCCAGGGAGAGAUGCCUCAGGAGAAACCAAACCUGCUGCUCUUUGGGCUUCCAGCUUUCAGAACUGUGAGAAAUAAAUUUUUGUUGUUGAAGCCCCUCA
This 966-nucleotide long non-coding RNA is filed under the name Homo sapiens (human). Its description in RNAcentral is "HSALNT0316694". Lineage: Eukaryota; Metazoa; Chordata; Mammalia; Primates; Hominidae. The record is from RNAcentral.